GACGAACGCUGGCGGCGUGCUUAACACAUGCAAGUCGAACGGAAAGGCCCUGCUUUUGUGGGGUGCUCGAGUGGCGAACGGGUGAGUAACACGUGAGUAACCUGCCCUUGACUUUGGGAUAACUUCAGGAAACUGGGGCUAAUACCGGAUAGGAGCUCCUGCUGCAUGGUGGGGGUUGGAAAGUUUCGGCGGUUGGGGAUGGACUCGCGGCUUAUCAGCUUGUUGGUGGGGUAGUGGCUUACCAAGGCUUUGACGGGUAGCCGGCCUGAGAGGGUGACCGGCCACAUUGGGACUGAGAUACGGCCCAGACUCCUACGGGAGGCAGCGGUGGGGAGUAUUGCACAAUGGGCGGAAGCCUGAUGCAGCAACGCCGCGUGCGGGAUGACGGCCUUCGGGUUGUAAACCGCUUUCGCCUGUGACGAAGCGUGAGUGACGGUAAUGGGUAAAGAAGCACCGGCUAACUACGUG
RNAcentral lists this ribosomal RNA (468 nucleotides) under uncultured bacterium. RNAcentral describes it as "partial 16S ribosomal RNA". It matches the Rfam family "Bacterial small subunit ribosomal RNA", at positions 28 to 507 of the family's 1533-position model. The record is from RNAcentral.